AUGAACUUGAAGAUCAAGGUCAGGGAAACCAGCUUGGAUGCACCAUCACAAUAAGCACAAUGGAUAUUUGCUUGUUGUGUGAAGCUACGUGGAUCAUUGGAAGGUAAGGCUUUCAUGAGUUGAAUGGCCUUUUUGUAUUUGCUAGAUAUUCAUCAUUCACUAAAUGUGCUGCUUGUCUUAUUCUCAAGGGUUGAUUUGAAGAAGGGAUUUUGAAAUCUAUGAUUUUUGUGGAAUUUGGUGGACAACAGUUAAUAUUGGGAGGUGUUGCAUCUGAGGGUAGGUCAGGUGGACCACAUGUGGAUAGGUCUGGUGGAGAUAUUGGAGAAGCUAGGGCAAAAGGGUUAGUGGCAAAGUACCAUA
Molecule: long non-coding RNA, 360 nt
Filed under: Lathyrus oleraceus (garden pea)
Lineage: Eukaryota; Viridiplantae; Streptophyta; Magnoliopsida; Fabales; Fabaceae
Description: Pisum sativum (pea) long non-coding RNA (PSAT_LNC003952)
Source: RNAcentral